RNAcentral lists this ribosomal RNA (458 nucleotides) under uncultured bacterium. RNAcentral describes it as "partial 16S ribosomal RNA". It matches the Rfam family "Bacterial small subunit ribosomal RNA", at positions 338 to 795 of the family's 1533-position model. The record is from RNAcentral.
CCUACGGGCGGCAGCAGUGAGGAAUAUUGGUCAAUGGGCGAGAGCCUGAACCAGCCAAGUCGCGUGAGGGAGUACUGCCCUAUGGGUUGUAAACCUCUUUUGUCGUGGAGCAAAAGCCGGACGUGUCCGGCUGUGAGAGUACCCGAAGAAAAAGCAUCGGCUAACUCCGUGCCAGCAGCCGCGGUAAUACGGAGGAUGCGAGCGUUAUCCGGAUUUAUUGGGUUUAAAGGGUGCGCAGGCGGAUUUUUAAGUCAGCGGUAAAAUCGUGGGGCUCAACCCCAUCCAGCCGUUGAAACUGGGGAUCUAGAGUGUGCGAGAGGUAUGCGGAAUGCGUGGUGUAGCGGUGAAAUGCAUAGAUAUCACGCAGAACCCCGAUUGCGAAGGCAGCAUACCGGUGCACAACUGACGCUCAGGCACGAAAGCGUGGGUAUCGAACAGGAUUAGAUACCCGAGUAGUC